This 428-nucleotide ribosomal RNA is filed under the name uncultured archaeon. RNAcentral's name for it is "bacterial SSU rRNA". It matches the Rfam family "Archaeal small subunit ribosomal RNA", at positions 474 to 903 of the family's 1478-position model. The record is from RNAcentral.
UACCUGCAGCUCGAGUGGUAACCGCUAUUAUUGGGCCUAAAGCGUCUGUAGCCGGUUUGGUAAAUAUCUGGGUAAAUCGUGAGGCUUAACUUCACGAAUUUCGGAUAGACUGCCAGACUUGGGAUCGGGGGAGGUCAGAGGUACUCCAGGGGUAGCGGUGAAAUGUUGUAAUCCUUGGAGGACCACCGGUAGCGAAGGCGUCUGACUAGAACGAGUCCGACGGUGAGGGACGAAGCCCUGGGGCGCAAACCGGAUUAGAUACCCGGGUAGUCCAGGGUGUAAACGAUGUGGGCUUUGUAUUGGAGGUCCCACGUGGGCGUCCAGUGCAGAAGAGAAGUUGUUAAGCCCACCGCCUGGGAAGUACGGUCGUAAGGCUGAAACUUAAAGGAAUUGGCGGGGAGCACAGCAACGGGAGGAGCGUGCGGUUU